GCCUGGGUGGCUCAGUCGGUUGAGCAUCCGACUUCGGCUCAGGUCAUGAUCUCGCGGUCCGUGAGUUCGAGCCUCGCAUCGGGCU
RNAcentral lists this transfer RNA (85 nucleotides) under Felis catus (domestic cat). It matches the Rfam family "tRNA". Rfam says of the family: Transfer RNA (tRNA) molecules are approximately 80 nucleotides in length. Their secondary structure includes four short double-helical elements and three loops (D, anti-codon, and T loops). Lineage: Eukaryota; Metazoa; Chordata; Mammalia; Carnivora; Felidae. The record is from Rfam by way of RNAcentral.